Molecule: ribosomal RNA, 494 nt
Filed under: uncultured bacterium
Lineage: Bacteria
Description: partial 16S ribosomal RNA
Rfam family: Bacterial small subunit ribosomal RNA
Source: RNAcentral
GAUGAACGCUGGCGGCGUGCUUAACACAUGCAAGUCGAACGGGAAACCUAUUAUUGAAACUUCGGUCGAUUUAAUUUGUUUCUAGUGGCGGACGGGUGAGUAACGCGUGGGUAACCUGCCCUAUACAGGGGGAUAACAACCAGAAAUGGUUGCUAAUACCGCAUAAGCGCACGGGACCGCAUGGUCCAGUGUGAAAACCUCCGGUGGUAUAGGAUGGACCCGCGUUGGAGUAGCUAGUUGGUGGGGUAACGGCCACCCAAGGCAACGAGCCAUAGCCGGCCUGAGAGGGUGAACGGCCACAUUGGGACUGAGACACGGCCCAGACUCCUACGGGAGGCAGCAGUGGGGAAUAUUGCACAAUGGGGGAAACCCUGAUGCAGCGACGCCGCGUGAAGGAAGAAGUAUCUCGGUAUGUAAACUUCUAUCAGCAGGGAAGAUAGUGACGGUACCUGACUAAGAAGCCCCGGCUAACUACGUGCCAGCCGCCGCGGUAA